RNAcentral lists this ribosomal RNA (468 nucleotides) under uncultured bacterium. Its description in RNAcentral is "partial 16S ribosomal RNA". It matches the Rfam family "Bacterial small subunit ribosomal RNA", at positions 28 to 507 of the family's 1533-position model. The record is from RNAcentral.
GACGAACGCUGGCGGCGUGCUUAACACAUGCAAGUCGAACGGACUGACCCUGCCUUUGUGUGUCGCCUGAGUGCCGAACGGGUGAGUAACACGCGAGUAACCCCUCCUUGUCUUUGGGAUAACCUCAGGAAACAGGGGCUAAUACCACACAUGAGCUCCUGCUGCACGGUGUGGGAUGGAGAGUGUCGGCGGUUGGGUAUGGACUCGCGGCUUAUCAGCUUGUUGGUGUGGUAGUGGCUUACCAAGGCUUUGACGGGUAGCCGGCCUGAGAGGGUGACCGGCCACCUUGGGACUGGGAUACGCCCCAGACUCCUACGGCACGCAGCAGUGGGAAAUAUUGCACAAUGGGCGGACGCCUGAUGCAGCAACGCCGGGUGCGGGAUGGCCUCCUUCUCGUUGUCAACCGCUUUCGCAUGUGCUGGAGCCUGAGUGACGGUACCCGGUCAAGAAGCACCGGCUAACUACGUG